RNAcentral lists this ribosomal RNA (253 nucleotides) under uncultured bacterium. Its description in RNAcentral is "partial 16S ribosomal RNA". It matches the Rfam family "Bacterial small subunit ribosomal RNA", at positions 524 to 776 of the family's 1533-position model. The record is from RNAcentral.
GACGAACCGAGCGAACGUUGUUCGGAAUCACUGGGCUUAAAGGGCGCGUAGGCGGGCUGCCAAGUCUGGGGUGAAAGCCCCCGGCUCAACCGGGGAAGGGCCUCAGAUACUGGCGGCCUGGAGGGGGGUAGGGGCGUGCGGAACUGUGGGUGGAGCGGUGAAAUGCGUUGAGAUCCACAGGAACUCCGGUGGCGAAGGCGGCACGCUGGACCCCAUCUGACGCUGAGGCGCGAAAGCCAGGGGAGCGAACGGG